AUACGAAGGGUGCAAGCGUUACUCGGAAUUACUGGGCGUAAAGCGUGCGUAGGUGGUUGUUUAAGUCUGUCGUGAAAGCCCUGGGCUCAACCUGGGAAUGGCGAUGGAAACUGGGCGACUAGAGUGUGGCAGAGGGUAGUGGAAUUCCUGGUGUAGCAGUGAAAUGCGUAGAGAUCAGGAGGAACAUCCGUGGCGAAGGCGACUGCCUGGGCCAAAAAUGAAUCUGAGGCACGAAAGCGUGGGGAGCAAAAAGGAUUAGAUACCCUGGUAGACCACGCCCUAAACGAUGCGAACUGGAUGUUGGGUGCAAUUUGGCACGCAGUAUCGAAGCUAAAGCGUUAAGUUCGCCGCCUGGGGAGUACGGUCGCAAGACUGAAACUCAAAUGAAUUGACGGGG
RNAcentral lists this ribosomal RNA (397 nucleotides) under uncultured bacterium. RNAcentral's name for it is "partial 16S ribosomal RNA". It matches the Rfam family "Bacterial small subunit ribosomal RNA", at positions 523 to 918 of the family's 1533-position model. The record is from RNAcentral.